UUCACUUCUCACCCUUUUGGCUAAGAUCAAGUGUAGUAUCUGUUCUUACCAGUUUAAAAGCCGCCUAUACAUAGGUGAAACUUACAAGUUUCAACUAUAUUCAAAUAGUCUCU
RNAcentral lists this small nuclear RNA (113 nucleotides) under Zalophus californianus (California sea lion). Its description in RNAcentral is "U2 spliceosomal RNA (ENSZCAG00015024429.1)". The stretch from base 1 to 100 matches the Rfam family "U2 spliceosomal RNA". Rfam says of the family: U2 is a small nuclear RNA (snRNA) component of the spliceosome (involved in pre-mRNA splicing). Complementary binding between U2 snRNA (in an area lying towards the 5' end but 3' to hairpin I) and the branchpoint sequence (BPS) of the intron results the bulging out of an unpaired adenosine, on the BPS, which initiates a nucleophilic attack at the intronic 5' splice site, thus starting the first of two transesterification reactions that mediate splicing. The record is from RNAcentral. Lineage: Eukaryota; Metazoa; Chordata; Mammalia; Carnivora; Otariidae.